CCUACGGGGUGCAGCAGUGGGGGAUAUUGCACAAUGGGGGGAACCCUGAUGCAGCGACGCCGCGUGGGUGAAGAAGCGCCUCGGCGCGUAAAGCCCUGUCAGCAGGGAAGAAAAUGACGGUACCUGAAGAAGAAGCCCCGGCUAACUACGUGCCAGCAGCCGCGGUAAUACGUAGGGGGCAAGCGUUCUCCGGAUUUACUGGGGGGAAAGGGGGCGCAGACGGCGAUGCAAGCCAGGAGGGAAAGCCCGGGGCCCAACCCCGGGCCUGCUCUUGGAACUGCGUGGCUGGAGUGCAGGAGGGGCAGGCGGAAUUCCUGGUGUAGCGGUGAAAUGCGUAGAUAUAAGGAGGAACACCGGUGGCGAAGGCGGCCUGCUGGACUGCAACUGACGUUGAGGCCCGAAAGCGUGGGGAGCAAACAGGAUUAGAUACCCGAGUAGUC
RNAcentral lists this ribosomal RNA (440 nucleotides) under uncultured bacterium. RNAcentral describes it as "partial 16S ribosomal RNA". It matches the Rfam family "Bacterial small subunit ribosomal RNA", at positions 338 to 795 of the family's 1533-position model. The record is from RNAcentral.